This 471-nucleotide ribosomal RNA is filed under the name Veillonella parvula. RNAcentral's name for it is "bacterial SSU rRNA". It matches the Rfam family "Bacterial small subunit ribosomal RNA", at positions 28 to 472 of the family's 1533-position model. Lineage: Bacteria; Bacillati; Bacillota; Negativicutes; Veillonellales; Veillonellaceae. The record is from RNAcentral.
GACGAACGCUGGCGGCGUGCUUAACACAUGCAAGUCGAACGAAGAGCGAUGGAAGCUUGCUUCUAUCAAUCUUAGUGGCGAACGGGUGAGUAACGCGUAAUCAACCUGCCCUUCAGAGGGGGACAACAGUUGGAAACGACUGCUAAUACCGCAUACGAUCUAAUCUCGGCAUCGAGGAUAGAUGAAAGGUGGCCCUACAUGUAAGCUAUCACUGAAGGAGGGGAUUGCGUCUGAUUAGCUAGUUGGAGGGGUAACGGCCCACCAAGGCGAUGAUCAGUAGCCGGUCUGAGAGGAUGAACGGCCACAUUGGGACUGAGACACGGCCCAGACUCCUACGGGAGGCAGCAGUGGGGAAUCUUCCGCAAUGGACGAAAGUCUGACGGAGCAACGCCGCGUGAGUCUAUGACGGCCUUCGGGUUGUAAAGCUCUGUUAAUCGGGACGAGAGGCCUUCUUGCGAAUAGUGAGAAGGA